This 253-nucleotide ribosomal RNA is filed under the name uncultured bacterium. Its description in RNAcentral is "partial 16S ribosomal RNA". It matches the Rfam family "Bacterial small subunit ribosomal RNA", at positions 524 to 776 of the family's 1533-position model. The record is from RNAcentral.
GACAGAGGGGGCAAGCGUUGCUCGGAAUUACUGGGCGUAAAGGGCGCGUAGGCGGAAUGGCAAGUCGGUCGUGAAAUCCUUCGGCUCAACCGAAGAACGUCGAUCGAAACUGCCGUUCUUGAGGACUGGAGAGGAGACUGGAAUUUACGGUGUAGCGGUGAAAUGCGUAGAUAUCGUAAGGAAGACCAGUGGCGAAGGCGGGUCUCUGGACAGUUCCUGACGCUGAGGCACGAAGGUCAGGGGAGCAAACGGG